GUACACGCUGUGACUAGCAUAUCAAUAAGCGGAGGAAAAGAAACUAACAAGGAUUCCCUUAGUAACGGCGAGUGAAGCGGGAAGAGCUCAAAUUUGAAAUCUUCAAGGUUUUACCUUGACGAAUUGUAGUUUAAAGAAGUGUUUUCUGCUGAAGUUUUGGUAAAAGUUCUUUGGAAUAGGACAUCAUAGAGGGUGAGAAUCCCGUAUUUGACCAUUAUUUUCAGCUUUGUGAUACACUUUCAAAGAGUCGGAUUGUUUGGGAAUGCAGUCCAAAAUGGGUGGUAAAUUUCAUCUAAAGCUAAAUAUUGGCGAGAGACCGAUAGCGAACAAGUACCGUGAGGGAAAGAUGAAAAGAACUUUGAAAAGAGAGUUAAACAGUACGUGAAAUUGUCAAAAGGGAAGCGUUUGACACCAGUGUUGUUUUCUCGAAAAUCAAUUAAAAAUGGCUCGAUUUUGUAUUGCUGAGACCUUAAAAGCUCACUGUACAUUUUUCGUGUCUUUUUUAAUGCACUUUUCGUUUAACAAGUCAACAUCAGUUUCUUUUGUUGUAAAAGGGUCAUUGGAAGGUGGCUUUCUUUUCGGAGAAAGUGUUUAUAGCCUUUGGCCUCCUGCAAUCGAAGAGACUGAGGUCUGCAGCGUAGACUCUUCGGGGUUAGAUACAUUUGUGCUAAGUUAUAGCUUUUUAUAGACAACUUGUUGACUAUAAUUAGUCUUGUAGCUUACUCGCUUAUGCUAUUUUACCUACGCUUAGGAUGUUGAUCUACAGAGCGAGAGU
RNAcentral lists this ribosomal RNA (775 nucleotides) under uncultured Neocallimastigales. RNAcentral's name for it is "partial large subunit ribosomal RNA". It matches the Rfam family "Eukaryotic large subunit ribosomal RNA", at positions 22 to 635 of the family's 3401-position model. Lineage: Eukaryota; Fungi; Neocallimastigomycota; Neocallimastigomycetes; Neocallimastigales. The record is from RNAcentral.